This 397-nucleotide ribosomal RNA is filed under the name uncultured bacterium. RNAcentral's name for it is "partial 16S ribosomal RNA". It matches the Rfam family "Bacterial small subunit ribosomal RNA", at positions 523 to 918 of the family's 1533-position model. The record is from RNAcentral.
AUACGUAGGGGGCGAGCGUUGUCCGGAAUGAUUGGGCGUAAAGGGCGCGUAGGCGGCGCGGUAAGUCUGGAGUGAAAGUCCUGCUUUCAAGGUGGGAAUUGCUUUGGAUACUGCCGCGCUUGAGUGCAGGAGAGGUUAUCGGAAUUCCCGGUGUAGCGGUGGAGUGCGUAGAGAUCGGGAGGAACACCAGUGGCGAAGGCGGGUAACUGGACUGCAACUGACGCUGAGGCGCGAAAGUGUGGGGAGCAAACAGGAUUAGAUACCCUGGUAGUCCACACUGUAAACGAUGAAUGCUAGGUGUAAGAGGUAUCGACCCCUUUUGUGCCGGAGUCAACACAAUAAGCAUUCCGCCUGGGGAGUACGGCCGCAAGGUUGAAACUCAAAUGAAUUGACGGGG